This 555-nucleotide long non-coding RNA is filed under the name Phoenix dactylifera (date palm). Its description in RNAcentral is "long non-coding RNA (PDAC_LNC002656)". The record is from RNAcentral. Lineage: Eukaryota; Viridiplantae; Streptophyta; Magnoliopsida; Arecales; Arecaceae.
GGGAUCAGUAUAUUCUUUUUCAGGUUUUGUGAAUAACGGGAUCUUAAAUAGCGAGCCAGUGACAUGGUUAAUGGAUGGAAGAUGUAAAAAUAAUUUAAGAGCAAGUAGUCUACCAAAACCAUUACCCAUGUGGUGGUGGUCGUGGUGGUCUUACCAUUCAGCUCUUUCGUAGAAAGAAGGAAUAUAUGUAAUGAUGGUGGUGGUGGUGGUCUUUACCAUGCGAUUCUUUCGUACGGUAGCCUCAGGUCAAAUCAAAUAGAGGUAUCUAAUAGAUGGUUAUCCAUUUUGAUGGUAUAUUUUAAGAUCUCUUGUUUAUAAAAGAAAGAUAACAAAUGGUAGGUUUUACUCUUUCCACAUGUUCUAUGAGAAGCAUAUCUUUGCCAUUUCCAAAUAAAAGGUGUGCAUUGUAUUUACGAUUUGCCAUUUCCAAAUAAAAGGUGUGUAUCAUCUUUACGCUUAAUACUUUCCGAUUCUACUAAAAAUUUUAUAAUAUAAAAAUUUGUUAUGGAUAGACUUAUUGGAUUAGUUCAUCAAUGACCUUAAGUUGGAAUCCUU